Non-coding RNA from Pelobates cultripes (western spadefoot toad), 250 nucleotides. The record is from the annotation of a GenBank genome assembly. NCBI's taxonomy places the organism in Eukaryota, Metazoa, Chordata, Amphibia, Anura, Pelobatidae.
UGUAAGUACUUAAUAGACCCAACAAAGUCUUCAGCUGUAAGAAAGCCAUUGUUUUCUGAGGCUUGUAACACAUGUCCCACAGAGUCAUCAAGUAUUCUCUUGGUGGAAUUAAAUAAAUAAAUUCAUAAGUACACAAUUUUGACACGAAACUUUUCAAGAAACUUUAUAUUGAAAUAGAACCUUUCUUACCGGUAUGUUGAGUCUGAGGUACCAGACAGACAUGUUAGCAGGCUUGUGCUGUAUCUUAUAA